Molecule: ribosomal RNA, 475 nt
Filed under: uncultured bacterium
Lineage: Bacteria
Description: partial 16S ribosomal RNA
Rfam family: Bacterial small subunit ribosomal RNA
Source: RNAcentral
GACGAACGCUGGCGGCGUGCUUAACACAUGCAAGUCGAACGGAAAGGCCUGUCCUUCCUUGUGUUGGCCGGUUACUCGCGUGGCGAACGGGUGAGUAACACGUGAAUGAUCUGCCCCCAACUUGGGUAUAAGCCUGGUAAACUGGGUCUAAUUCCCGAUAGGACUGCAGGGUGGUGCCUGUGGUGGAAAACGCUGUUCUAGUGGUUGGGGAUGCGCUCGCGGCCGAUCAGCUUGUUGGUGGGGUUGUGGGCUACCAAGGCGAGGACGAGUAGCCGGCCUGUGAGGAUGGGCAACCGGCCUGGGCCUGAGCCGCGGGCCGGAGUGGGACAGGAGGCAGCAGGGGGGAAGAUUGGACGAUGGGGGCAGCCCUGGGGCAGCCAUGCCGCGUGGGUGAUGACGGCCUUAGGGUUGUAAAGCUCUUUUCUGCGGGACGGUAAUGACGGUACCGGAGGAAUAAGCCCCGGCUAACUUCGUG